This 579-nucleotide ribosomal RNA is filed under the name uncultured bacterium. RNAcentral describes it as "bacterial SSU rRNA". It matches the Rfam family "Bacterial small subunit ribosomal RNA", at positions 147 to 719 of the family's 1533-position model. The record is from RNAcentral.
CGCAGCGAAAGUUGCGCUAAUACCGCAUACGAUCUACGGAUGAAAGUGGGGGAUCCGCAAGGACCUCAUGCUCGUGGAGCGGCCGAUAUCUGAUUAGCUAGUUGGUAGGGUAAAAGCCUACCAAGGCAUCGAUCAGUAGCUGGUCUGAGAGGACGACCAGCCACACUGGAACUGAGACACGGUCCAGACUCCUACGGGAGGCAGCAGUGGGGAAUUUUGGACAAUGGGGGCAACCCUGAUCCAGCAAUGCCGCGUGAGUGAAGAAGGCCUUCGGGUUGUAAAGCUCUUUUGUCGGGGAAGAAACGGCAUGGCUUAAUACGCUGUGCUAAUGACGGUACCCGAAGAAUAAGCACCGGCUAACUACGUGCCAGCAGCCGCGGUAAUACGUAGGGUGCAAGCGUUAAUCGGAAUUACUGGGCGUAAAGCGUGCGCAGGCGGUUAUGUAAGACAGAUGUGAAAUGCCCGGGCUCAACCUGGGAACUGCAUUUGUGACUGCAUGGCUAGAGUGUGUCAGAGGGGGGUAGAAUUCCACGUGUAGCAGUGAAAUGCGUAGAGAUGUGGAGGAAUACCGAUGGCGAA